Molecule: ribosomal RNA, 586 nt
Filed under: Cassytha pubescens
Lineage: Eukaryota; Viridiplantae; Streptophyta; Magnoliopsida; Laurales; Lauraceae
Description: eukaryotic LSU rRNA
Rfam family: Eukaryotic large subunit ribosomal RNA
Source: RNAcentral
AGAAGAAACUUACCAGGAUUCCCCUAGUAACGGCGAGCGAACCGGGAACAGCCCAGCUUGAGAAUCUGGCGGCCUGCCGCCUGAAUUGUAGUCUGGAGAAGCGUCCUCAGCGACGGACCGGGCCCAAGUCCACUGGAAAGUGGCGCCGGAGAGGGUGAGAGCCCCGUCGUGCCCGGACCCUGCCGCACCACGAGGCGCUGUCGGCGAGUCGGGUUGUUUGGGAAUGCAGCCCAAAUCGGGCGGUAAAUCCCGUCCAAGGCUAAAUAUCGGCGAGAGACCGAUAGCGAACAAGUACCGCGAGGGAAAGAUGAAAAGGACUUUGAAAAGAGAGUCAAAGAGUGCUUGAAAUUGUCGGGAGGGAAGCGGAUGGGGGCCGGCGACUCGCCUCGGCCGGAUGCGGAACGGCGUUGAGCCGGUCCGCCGCUCGGCUCGGGGCGUGGACCGUCGCGGGUCGCGGUGGCGGCCUGAGCCCGCGCGGUUGUUUCCCGCGCGCGGAUUCGCCGUCGCCUAGACCGUGGAGAAAGCCAGCACGCGCCCCUGUGGCGUGCCUCGUGCACCUGCGUGCUCUCGGCCGGCGGUCGGCGGG